This 471-nucleotide ribosomal RNA is filed under the name uncultured bacterium. RNAcentral's name for it is "bacterial SSU rRNA". It matches the Rfam family "Bacterial small subunit ribosomal RNA", at positions 335 to 799 of the family's 1533-position model. The record is from RNAcentral.
ACUCCUACGGGAGGCAGCAGUGGGGAAUAUUGCACAAUGGGCGCAAGCCUGAUGCAGCCAUGCCGCGUGUGUGAAGAAGGCCUUCGGUUGUAAAGUACUUUCAGCAGUGAGGAAGGUGGUGUCGUUAAUAGCGGCAUCAUUUGACGUUAGCUGCAGAAGAAGCACCGGCUAACUCCGUGCCAGCAGCCGCGGUAAUACGGAGGGUGCGAGCGUUAAUCGGAAUUACUGGGCGUAAAGCGCAUGCAGGUGGUUUGUUAAGUCAGAUGUGAAAGCCCGGGGCUCAACCUCGGAAUUGCAUUUGAAACUGGCAGACUAGAGUACUGUAGAGGGGGUAGAAUUUCAGGUGUAGCGGUGAAAUGCGUAGAGAUCUGAAGGAAUACCGGUGGCGAAGGCGGCCCCCUGGACAGAUACUGACACUCAGAUGCGAAAGCGUGGGGAGCAAACAGGAUUAGAUACCCUGGUAGGAUAGCG